GUUAUUAUCAGAUGUCUGUGUCAUUUCCCCCUUCCACACUACAGAUCACAUGAGAAAGGCAAUGUGGAACCUGGCAGGGCUCAGCUUCUGCAUCAGAUGAUGCUGCAGUUAGGUCCCAGUUUUGUCACUAACUACAGUGUGACUUUGGGCAACUACUUAUUUUCUAUGUAAAUGAGAACAAUAACAGCAUCUUGAUGCUGCUGCUGUGAGGACACCCGGGUGAUGUUUACGAGGGAUAACGUCCACUGCCUGGCUCCUAGUAAGAACUCAAUCUUCAGAAAGAACCAGAGAUAAGGACAACAGCCUCUUGGAGCUAUACUAGACUGAGGGGAAAGAUUCGCCCUGAGCUAACAUCUGUUGCCACUCUUCCUCUUUUUUCCCCCCUCCCCAAAGCACCAGUGCAUGGUUGUAUAUCCUAGUUGUAAGUAGUUCUAGUUCUUCUGUGUGAGCCGCCACCACAGUAUGGCAACCGACAGG
This 477-nucleotide long non-coding RNA is filed under the name Equus caballus (horse). Its description in RNAcentral is "lncRNA (ENSECAG00000048389.1)". Lineage: Eukaryota; Metazoa; Chordata; Mammalia; Perissodactyla; Equidae. The record is from RNAcentral.